CGAAACCCAAAGAGUUUGGCGGUAUCUCAGUCUAGUUAGAGGAGCUUGUUCAGUAAUCGAUAAUCCGCGAAAAAUCUUACACAUUUUUGUAAUCAGUUUAUAUACCGUCGUUAUUAGAUAAUAUUAAAAAGUAAAUAAUUAUCUAAAAAUAAUUAAAUAUAAUAUAUCAGAUCAAGGUGUAGCUUAUAAGUGUGAGUUGAAUGAGCUACAAUUUAGUUUAU
Molecule: ribosomal RNA, 221 nt
Filed under: Rissoides barnardi
Lineage: Eukaryota; Metazoa; Arthropoda; Malacostraca; Stomatopoda; Squillidae
Description: partial 12S ribosomal RNA
Source: RNAcentral